Long non-coding RNA from Chiroxiphia lanceolata (lance-tailed manakin), 1998 nucleotides. RefSeq lists it as uncharacterized. The record is from RefSeq and is a predicted model, not a curated record. Lineage: Eukaryota; Metazoa; Chordata; Aves; Passeriformes; Pipridae. The transcript has 2 exons.
CCCCCUCACACCUCCCAGAGCCCCUCUCAUCCCCUCACAGAAUCACAGAAUGGUUCAGGAAGGACAAUUUCAGACUGUCAGAAGGGCAUCCCUAAAGGGGCAGCCAGAGGGCACAGACCUGCAAUAAUGAGUGCAACUGCCUCUCCUUCCCUAAAAGGGAAAAAAAAAAAAAGACUGAAAUAAAGAACUGAAAUCUUCUCUCAGCUUUGGCUGUGCUCCCACAGCAUGGACAAGGUGAGUUACCACCCCAGCCCAGGAGUGCUUGAACAGUGCCAUUUGACAGCUGCUGAUUAACCUGUGUGGUCGGUCGAGCAGCAAAGUGACAGGUGCCAUACAGAAGCCAGACACUUGAACUGUCUCCACUUGUGCAAGCUGGUGGCCUGGAGUAUCUGUUUCUGUGAGGCUGCCAAUCCAGCAUCUGCCACAAGUGUCUAGUUCAGAGUGAGAAAACAAAGGGAAGUCCCAAUGACACAUCUUCCAGCUGCAAUCCCAAAGUGUCAUAGGAGGACAAUAGAAUGCCUCUUCUGCAAUGAAUGAGUGGGUGUUAUUACAAAAUCACAUAAAAUAUGAACAGGGUUGAAUUUUAAGUCUACCAAAGACAGCAAACAGACACGAAAUGUGUCUAAUUUUAGGAAACUUGGGAGUUUUGCUCUACAAUAUCCUUGAAGAAAGUUGUAGUAAGAUAAAUGUCACGACUGUAUGUGGUAACAGUAUUGUAACUUCUGUUAGAAAUUGUGAUGUAUGAGAUGUGGUAAUCUCAUUCUUCUGUGCUUCCAGGCUGUAUUUACAGGGAGGGAGACAGAAAGAAAAAAAAAAGAGCCAUUAUGCCAUUUUACAUGGUGACUUAUUGUCUCAGAAAAUGAGAAGAUCCUUAUUCUUUCUACUUAUUUUUGUCAGUACAACAGCACUGCCCUAUGCAGUCUGCAGUCUCCUAUUCUUCUGCUGUGUCUUCUCUCAUGUGUAUUUGAGGGUUUUUAAAAUAACUUACUCUCCCUUGGCCCAUACUUUUUUUCUCCUCCUCCUCCUCACCUCCACAUACACAUACAAAUUUUUGUUUAAAUUUAAAUGUAACAAUUUCCAAAAAAGAUGGUAUCUAAUCCACAGGUCUGAUCUGUGUAUCUUACCAUUUGUAGGGAAUGCUGAUAAUCUUUGUAAUAGGCUUAAAUAUGGUAUUUGACUUUGAAGCACCAGCUAUACACAUCCUGCCUUAAAACCCCACUCAAGUCAUUUCCCCAAAGAACAUAUACGUUACAAUUGCCUGCAUUUUUGACUGUCUAACUUUAUAAGUCACCUGGUGUUCAUACAGCAACUUCCAUCACCAAUUUCAGACAGUCUGGACUUGGGAGCCCAGUCUGAUCCAAGCAGCAGUGGGGCAAUACUGGAGCAGGAGAAUAGAAAGUCCAUGGUCUGGGAAGGCACAGAGGUAAACCAGAGAAGAGGAAAAGACAGGAGCCUGAGGCCAGAGAGAAGAGAAGGCUGAUAAGGAGUUGCAGCCAAUACAGCAGACAUAGGCCAGGCAAACAAAUGUCUUUUCCAGGAAAUGAUCACAAAGUGUCCAAGAGGGAACUUACCUCAUCCAAAGGCUUUGUAUCAGACAGUCCUGACCUGAGCCUUUGAGACAUGAGCCUGAUGGCUGAGGUCUAAAGGAGAAAGCAAACCUCAUGCAGAAAGCUCUAAAAGGAUGGCAGCCUGCAAGGAGUAAGCAAACAGCUGAAGUCUGGAUGUAGGGAAAAGAUGUAACAGUUAUGUGCAAGGCAGACAUCUGAAAGACACUGGAUUUACAUUUAAGCUUUUCAUAUUUUGAGAAUUUCUGUUUAGAAAAAAAAGCCAGACGUGAAAAGGGAGGAAAUACACAGUUACUAUAACACAAAAAAAACCUGAGCCAAUUCACCAAGCCAAAACAGCCCUGGAGGGACUGGUCUGUCUGAUCUUUCACAGAUUGUAGCUUUAGAGCAUGAAAUACACACACAAAAAAAUAAAAAAAAAAAAAGAAAGAAG